UUACGGUCAUAUAAAUGUUCGAACACCGGUUUUCGUACGUUCACCGAAGGUAAGCAACGUCAAGUCUGGUUAGUACCAAGAUGGAUAACCGCUUGGGAAUACCAGAUGCCGUAA
Molecule: non-coding RNA, 114 nt
Organism: Acanthosepion pharaonis
Lineage: Eukaryota; Metazoa; Mollusca; Cephalopoda; Sepiida; Sepiidae
Source: the annotation of a GenBank genome assembly